Molecule: transfer RNA, 66 nt
Filed under: Albula goreensis
Lineage: Eukaryota; Metazoa; Chordata; Actinopteri; Albuliformes; Albulidae
Description: tRNA-OTHER
Source: RNAcentral
GCCUACAGCCUAGUGGCUAAGGUACAUGGCUGGGACCCCUGAGGUUGGUGGUUCAAGUCCCAGUCG